This 419-nucleotide long non-coding RNA is filed under the name Mus spicilegus (steppe mouse). RNAcentral's name for it is "lncRNA (ENSMSIG00000031765.1)". Lineage: Eukaryota; Metazoa; Chordata; Mammalia; Rodentia; Muridae. The record is from RNAcentral.
CGCCGCCAUCCAGCCCUAUACAGUCUUUUCCUUUCUCUGGUGGCUAGUGGACAUCAUGCGAGCCAGGUCACCACGGAGGUGCUGCCCCAAAGAGAGAGCAAGCGUAGCAUGGAAAUCUCCUGUCUGCCCCAGCUCAGGAGCAGCCUGGGGUUCCGGAGAUCACCCACUGGGAUCACCCGCCUGGGCGCCUGGAGGAAAGACACUCUGUGAAGACCCACAGAGAGCAGAGGUGGAGGGGACAUGGAGACACAGUAGCCAACUUACUGGGGGAGAUGAAGAGGCUGACUUGCACAGGAGUGGAACGACCUUCCCUGACCUCAUUUUCAAGUCGGUGCGAGCACACCCGGAGCCCGCACCGCACAUUCCGGAGAAGGAAGAAGAAGCGCGAGCCACACUCACACACCCACACUCUCAACCAU